Molecule: long non-coding RNA, 2406 nt
Filed under: Vigna radiata
Lineage: Eukaryota; Viridiplantae; Streptophyta; Magnoliopsida; Fabales; Fabaceae
Description: long non-coding RNA (VRAD_LNC013787)
Source: RNAcentral
UAUAUAUAUAUAUAUAUAUAUAUAAAUUGGAGUACUCAGAAAAAGUGUACCUUGGUUAAAUGUUUCUAAAAUCUCACAGAAAUGGUAGGUGUGUGAGUCCUUAUAUCAUAAGAUCUGAUUGCAGUGAUUUGGUGGAGCUUCUGUUUUUCCUUCUGCAUAAAAUGCACAAGGGGCAAACAAUAACUUAUUAACUAAAAGUGGAUAUAGAACUAAUUACAUUGACAUUAAUACCGCAGUAUAACUGAGAAACAUUAAUUGCUUUAUAACACUGUAUCUUGCGAUGAUGCAAUUCCCAAAAUAAUGAUAACCUUCACGUUGCUAAGAAACAAUAUUCAUACUAUAUCAUUAUAUGAUCAAUAUAAAAGUCUUGGUUUUAUGAUUAAACAAGAAGCCUAAUCCUAGCUAGGGAAUAAUUAAGCCCUUGAAUUUAUGGAUAGCUUUAAUCAACCUAUGACUCUAGGAUGCUCUUGGUUAUUAACAGAAGGUAUGUAUUUCAUGCAUGGAUAUGUAUGAAGAACAAAGGUGUUGAAUCCCAAAUCUUCCUUGGAAAAUGAAAUAGGAUUACAAAAAUCACCUUCAUAUUGUUACCUUAUGACCAAAAUACUAAUAUAUGUUUGUGUCUUUCUUUCUUAAUAUCGUUUUAUUUCCUUAUCUAACUAUGUCUGCAAGAUCAUAAGCAAGGAUGACAGGAGAAUAUAAUAAAAUAUAGAUCAAAGAAAAGAAUGAAGAGUUUGAUGUUUUAUUUGCCUAGUUUUAUCCUGGGUAACUUUAACCGAUUUCUUGUUGGUUUUCGAAGCAUUUGAAAUGAAGUAGAUCAUCCCAAAAAGGUUUCAUUUCUAGUCUCUUUCAGUCUUUAAAUUCCAGCAGUGACAAGGAUUCUUCCAAGGCUUUUGAUGGUUCAUGGAAAUUGACUUUACCCCAAAGGAUCUGAGAUACUGCUAUAUAUAUUUUAAUAGAAAAGCAUCACAUUCAAGUCUGUGUAGCCAAAAGAAAGGUCCUGCUCCUAUAUAUGUCUAGUCUCGCUUACUGUUGAUCUUACUGUCCUAUGUGUUGCUUUUGCUUUCCCAUUUCUCACCGUGUGAGAACACCACAUUCCAUUUGAUAUCUCCUUUUUAUGCCUUGAACAGUGUAUUUUGCAUUCAAUGCCACUCUAAUAUUUUCAAACAUGUAUACACAACUGCUUUCUAUGAGUCUAUUACUCCAAAUAAACUUCGACAAAAUAUACAAAUAGUAAAAUGAAAAGGUCUUGCAUUUGUAAACCUAAAGCAAAGUGCAUCAAUCUGCCCCAUCAGUUAUACAAACACACAACACAACUUUCUUUACCCAGUUUAUAUUAAUUCACACGAUAAUUUCUAAGCGUAUCAAGUUUUUUUUUUCCUUCAAAUACAUGAUGCUACACAUCUCGAAUGAAUCAAAAUGAUUUUGCGUUUUCUUAUUCUGGCAUAUGUUUUAUAUCUGUCAUAUAAUAUGAAGUUUCAAGCACACAAAAUCAGAAAGAGAAGAAGCUAAAGCUAAUAAUUUGUCACCUGGGUCGUCAAAGUAAAGCUCUUUGAUUCACUGUCCAAAAGUCUUAGCUGUAAUGUAAUUAUUACAAUAUCUGUGACAAAUCCAAAAAAAUGUAUAUAAUUAGUAACGAGUAAGUUUGAUUUUCAACUGUCGACAGUAGCAAAACUGUUACAAAGACUGAUUAAGCAUCACAUGAGGAAUCUUAAUCCAUAAAAGUCUAAAGGCUGUAUCUGUUAAAUUAAGAUAAGAAUCAUAGAUCAAAGGCAAAACAUUGAAUAAGCAUCAGAAUCAGGCUACUUACUCUUUAAGGCAUGAGUAAAUGGGGUCAAACACCCCCCAAUUUUUCAUUUUCCCAAUAUCACGUUUGUGUGCAGUGCUAAUCCAGACAAGAAGGCGGCUGAUGAAUAGGAGAAGUUACAAAAGCAUAUCAGCAGAAAAUACAAAUAAUAAUAAAUAAAAAAGGUGCUAGUAAGUAACAAUGUGGAGGGAUAUAGAGGUAAAAAAAUGGAGGGAGGAGGGUUAGUACUCAUGAUAAAUAUAAUGAAUAAAUUAUUUAUGGUAACUACAGCAUAUUAAGUGGAAAAAGGUAAUCAAAUUAGAUGAAUGGAGGAGGAAUAAGAUCAGAAAAAAUUACCCUUUUACAGCUGUACAACUUUCUGCCCUUUAUCUGCAAAGCUAAAAUGCCUAACUAAGCAGCAGGAGCAGAAGCAGCAGUGUGUUGAACGACAUCAACCCAACAAGGCUAACAGAAACAUUAGAGGAAAGAAGAAAGCAACAAGCUUUUCUGUGUAUCAUUAAAUGCAGUAAACGGAAAGAGAGAGAGAGAACAGUGUUGAAGCAAUAUUAAAAUAGAAAUAGCAAAUGACAUAUAUAUAUAUAUAUACUAUAAUAAUAUUAAUA